UGGGGAAUAUUGCACAAUGGGGGAAACCCUGAUGCAGCGACGCCGCGUGAGUGAUGAAGUAUUUCGGUAUGUAAAGCUCUAUCAGCAGGGAAGAAGAUGACGGUACCUGACUAAGAAGCCCCGGCUAACUACGUGCCAGCAGCCGCGGUAAUACGUAGGGGGCAAGCGUUAUCCGGAUUUACUGGGUGUAAAGGGAGCGUAGACGGCGGCGCAAGCCAGAUGUGAAAGCCCGGGGCUCAACUCCGGGACUGCAUUUGGAACUGUGUGGCUGGAGUGCUGGAGAGGUAAGUGGAAUUCCUAGUGUAGCGGUGAAAUGCGUAGAUAUUAGGAGGAACACCAGUGGCGAAGGCGGCUUACUGGACGGAAACUGACGUUGAGGCUCGAAAGCGUGGGGAGCAAACAGG
This 404-nucleotide ribosomal RNA is filed under the name uncultured bacterium. RNAcentral's name for it is "bacterial SSU rRNA". It matches the Rfam family "Bacterial small subunit ribosomal RNA", at positions 355 to 776 of the family's 1533-position model. The record is from RNAcentral.